CACGGGUUACACUGCUUCGCUGCUGCGCAUCUUUCCUGCGCUUGCUCAGCCAAGAUCGACUGCGGCUCCACAACCCAACCGAAUUCAUCGCCGCACUCCAUUUUUUUUUUGCCUCGCUGUGUUCUCAGUUGUGUGUUGCCGGCUUCUUAAGGAUGGAGGACCCCGCCGCGCAGGAGGUUGUCGUGACCCCGUGGACGGUGGAGGGUGACGUGAACUAUGACAAGCUCAUCAAACAUUUUGGGUGCCAGGCGAUCGACGAAAAGCUGCUGGAGCGGAUGGAGCGGCUGACCAGGAAGAAACCCCAUCACUUUCUGCGCCGCGGCAUCUUCUUCUCCCACCGUGAUUUGAACUUAAUCCUCGAUGCAUACGAGAAGGGACAGCCUUUCUACCUGUACACCGGCCGUGGUCCCAGCAGCGAGUCGAUGCACGUUGGCCACCUGAUACCUUUCAUGUUCACCAAGUGGCUGCAGGACACCUUCCAUGUGCCGCUGGUGAUUCAGCUCACCGAUGACGAAAAGUUCUUUUUCAAGGACUUGACAAUGGACGAGAUCGAUAAGAUGACCACGGAAAACUUGAAGGACAUCAUCGCCUUUGGCUUUGACCCGAAGCUGACGUUCAUCUUCAGGGACUUUGAGUACGUGGGACGGAUGUAUCGCAUUGUCGCACGCAUCGAGAAGGCGUACACGGCUAGCCAGGUGCGGGGCUGCUUCGGCUUCAAGAUGGAGGACAACUGCGGCCGCUGGAUGUUCCCUGCGAUUCAGGCAGCACCCUCCUUCUCGGCGGCGUUUCCACACAUUUUUCCGCAGGAGAAGGGCAACGUCUUCUGCAUGAUUCCGCAAGCGAUCGACCAAGACCCGUACUUCCGUCUUACGCGCGACGUGGCGCCGCGCAUGGGAUAUUUGAAGCCAGCCGUUAUCCACUCCAAGUUCUUCCCGGGUCUUAGUGGGUCGAAGGGCAAGAUGAGCUCAUCCACCGGCGCUGCCGUCUUUCUGACGGACACCCCCAAGAUGAUCAAAGACAAGAUCAACAAACACGCCUUCAGCGGUGGUGGCGCAGAUAAGAAGGAGCAGCUGCUUCUUGGUGGUAACACCAACGUCGACGUACCUAUGCAGUGGCUCCGCUUUUUCCUCGAGGAUGACGAGGAGUUGACGCGCCUCCAGAAGGACUACAUGCUUGGCCGUAUCAUGACCGGUGACGUGAAGAAAGUCCUCAUUCAACAAAUCACCAGCAUCGUGACGGCACACCAGGAAGCGCGGAAAAAGGUGACGGAGGCCGAUGUGGAGCUCUUCACUGCCGUCCGCGCCAUGGGACCGGCGAAGGAGGAGGCGGAGUCAAGGAAGUAAAAUGGCCGCAGCGGCUAGUACAGAACUGUCUGCGUGUGCGCGGGGCGGAGUGGGACGCGCGCACUCGACGAUCCCGUGCGACUUUGGUGCGAAGCGACGUGCAGGCGCGCAGCUCAAGAAUGAGAGGGUUAGCAACAGUCUCAGACACGUAAGUGCCCGCGUUGUUGCCUUUCUACGCUCGGUCACGCAGUGGGAUAGGCACUUUGCGCGGGCCUUCUCUCCCAUCACAGUAGGAAGGAAGCUCCCCCGCCGCGCAGCUGCCACGUGAAGGAAUGAAUUUGGCGAUGCCAGACGAUAUACAACUAAUGUGUCUCACUACUUCCCCUUCUCUCUUGCUGGCAACGUGGCAUCUCAAUCUGUGUGCAGGGGUCCGUUCGCGAGCUAGACAAUAACACGCAAGCUUCUUGUUCGCUGGCUCUUUCGCUGCGAGGGGGAAGGGAUCACUGCAUUCGCUUUUUUUGUGUGUGCUGUCUCUAUGCGCAUGCGCCGCUGCCCUUUCCACCACGCGCGAAGCGACAUACGUGCACUGUGCAUGUGUGUUGAGGUUGCCAGGGAAGGGAGAUCGAGAGAGCCAUGAGGAGGAAAAGGGGCCCUGGUUGCAACCGCUGAAGCCCCUCGGCGCUUUCCCCCUUUUGUUGCAGACAACA
This 1990-nucleotide unclassified non-coding RNA is filed under the name Leishmania donovani. Its description in RNAcentral is "gene:LdHU3.29.0080(CDS-product:tryptophanyl-tRNA_ synthetase_putative)". Lineage: Eukaryota; Euglenozoa; Kinetoplastea; Trypanosomatida; Trypanosomatidae. The record is from RNAcentral.